This 661-nucleotide unclassified non-coding RNA is filed under the name Hevea brasiliensis (rubber tree). Lineage: Eukaryota; Viridiplantae; Streptophyta; Magnoliopsida; Malpighiales; Euphorbiaceae. The record is from RNAcentral.
UUUUUUUUUUUUUUUUUCUCCCUUCUAACUGUAAAUUUUGAUAUAUAUGUAGUUUAUUUUUCAUCUGUUACAUUACCAUGAAGGAGUUAUAAUAGAAAUGCUUUCAAUGAGCCACCUGCUGAAUUAGUAACAUAGAUCAUGAUUAGAAAUAAAUUGAAUGGUUUUCGGAUAUAAGAGAUACAGUUGAUUGCUCUUGAAGGACAAAUGCUAUUGACUGAGGCUUUAAGAGUCACAUACUACUUUUACAUCUCUUAACCUGUGCUUGGGAGGUAGGUGAAAGUGUGGGAAAGAAAGGGAGUGAGAGAAAAUCAAGGGAAAGAAUCAUCUCUUGACCUGUUUGGAAGAAGGAGAGGUAGGGAGGAGAAGAGAAAAUGUGUUAAAAGUAGUCAUCUGGGCCCACUAAAAAUUUUCACCUGGAUUUGAGGUGAAAAGCUUGGGAAAGAUGGUUCUUAAAUUUUAAAUUUAAGGUCUACGCAUUUAACCCUAAAACUAUUAUAUAAUUACGUUUGAAAUGUUUUUAUUUUAUAAUAUGAGUAAAGGGUAAAAUAGUAAUUGUAUUAUCAAAUAUUUCUUCCCAACCCACAGAAAAUUGAUGUUCUCGCAUUUUCUCCCCCUCUCUCUUUCACCUCAUUCCAAACAAGGGAGGAGAAAUGAGUAUUCU